Molecule: ribosomal RNA, 484 nt
Filed under: uncultured bacterium
Lineage: Bacteria
Description: partial 16S ribosomal RNA
Rfam family: Bacterial small subunit ribosomal RNA
Source: RNAcentral
AUUGAACGCUGGCGGCAGGCCUAACACAUGCAAGUCGAGCGGAUGAAGGGAGCUUGCUCCUGGAUUCAGCGGCGGACGGGUGAGUAAGCCUAGGAAACCUGCUUGUUGUUGGGGAUUACGGUCCGAAACGGGGGCCAAUUCCCCCUACGGUCUGGGGGGAGAAGGGGGGGGUUCUUGGGCCCUAAGGCAUUCGGAUGACCCUAGGUCGGAUUAGCUAGUUGGUGGGGUAAGGGCUUACCAAGGCGACGAUCCGUAACUGGUCUGAGAGGAUGAUCAGUCACACUGGAACUGAGACACGGUCCAGACUCCUACGGGAGGCAGCAGUGGGGAAUAUUGGACAAUGGGCGAAAGCCUGAUCCAGCCAUGCCGCGUGUGUGAAGAAGGUCUUCGGAUUGUAAAGCACUUUAAGUUGGGAGGAAGGGCAGUAAGUUAAUACCUUGCUGUUUUGACGUUACCAACAGAAUAAGCACCGGCUAACUUCGUG